AUGGGUGUGAUAAAAGUGGUUUUCUGUCUGACGCUGUUUGUGCUCCUCUUGGAGGGAGCACGAGCACGCGUUCCCGCUAAUGUUGACGACGAUUCGUCAGAGCAGACGGAGUCAAAGCGGGUGAGUCUGUCAUCAAGUGACCUGUCACGUAUGAUGCUGCAAACACUGGGACAAACAUACGAGGACAUCGCUUUGGAUGUCGACCACCGCAAGGAGCAAGUUGCGCCCUACAUGGAACGCGCCCUCAAGUGGGGUCAAAGCAAGAGGUCCAUUCCGACGUUGAAAAAAGCUCUAGCUCGGGCCUUGGACUACGCAAAGAAGAAUAUUCUGGAAACCCACAAAGAAGCCCAGGAGAAAAUAUGCGAACGCCAGGCAACGGUUAAGAAAUUUGUAGAUUUCUUUCCACCUUCAGAUCCUGAAUUGGCCAAACUGACCGACUCUACCGACAGCUAUUCACAGGCUCCCGGUUUCAAAAAGCUCGAUGAACUCAUAAUUCAGCUCGAGAGUAUGGAAGAUCGCGUCGACAGCCAAUUGAAUCCCGUCGCAGGCAAGAUGUCAACCACCCUGACCGAUUGGAAAGCGUACUUCGCGCGUAGGGGCAGAGAGGCGGAGAAACUCUUUAUCAGCGAGAUGGAUCUAAUCAAGACAGCUUCUCAGACAGCUUUUGAUGCUUUGUAUGAUGCAAUGGUCAUCAAAGACAACUUGCAAAUGCCCAUGAAGAAUGGCCAAAAAUCGAUGAAUAUUAAAGAAAAGGCAGCACUCUUGAGGAUGGUGUCUGAUCUUGAUGAAAAACUGGGAUGCACUCCUGAAGAUGAUGUCUCGUCUUGAUGAAAAACUGGGAUGUUAAGGAAUAAAGGAAAGCUUACGGUCACGGUAUACCGUUUCGUUUCAUUGAAACGUUUCGUUUCAUCGAAACGUUUCGUUUGAUAACCCUUCGCAAAUUUUGAAAAAAAAUAAAAAAAAUAAAAAUAAAAUAUUCUCAACUCUUGAAUUGGCCUUACGAUUUAAUUUUAAACCUGUGCAUCGUUACAAUUAUUUUUGACUAAAACUUCACUCAAAAAUAAGUAUCUGUGCCCAAAUAUUCUUAGCUUCUCCUCUUCUUCUCUCAAAUGCCGCAGUAUAUUCCGAAUUUCAUUCAGAAAAGUGUAUUGUUUUAUAUCGCCAAAAAUUUGCCCGAGUAUAUUUGCCACUUAGGAAAAUAGGCUCAGCUGCUGAAGCACAUAAAACAUGAUCAAUUUUUUGUCAAAUGCCGUUGAUUGACAAAGCCCUGUCCUUAAAUGACACCUGACAUUCGCAUUUGAAGCUCGUCCCUUCCAGCGUUAAAAUCUUCAGUGGGUUAAUUUAUUGAAACGGUCGAAUGAAUUCGAUCAACAAAUCCCUAUUCCCCAAUGCCAUAUCAAAAAUCAUGCUUUUGAGCUUUGGUCGUUUUUGUUUCUUUCGUUAAAAUUCCCAGCGGGUCCAUCAUUGAACCUUUUUUCAAACUAUUUCGAUCGACAAAGCCUAGUCUUUCAAUUGUAUUUAUUGGUCAAGGUUAUCGGGCAAGCAGUACAUUUAGUUUUAGUUGUUUUUUCUUCCCCCGCGUCCAAGUCUCUACGCGAGUUUCUUCCGCCUAAUAAUACUCGUUGUAAGUUCUAUCUCGUAAUUUUCUCUGCUGCUCAGAGUCAUUCGAUAUUUCAACCUCGUUUCUUUCCCCUUAUUUUUCUGGCGUUAGAGUCUUCGGUAAGGUGAUUACUGAACCAUUCGUCAAAUGUCUUCGAUAGACAAAUCCUUCCCUUCCACUGCUUUUUUAUUUAUCAAGGUGGUUUGACAAUCCGUCGAUUGAAACACAAUAUCUUUCCCUCUUUCAUGUUGAAGUCUGCGACUGAAUAAUUAUUGAACCUUCGCGCCGACAAGUAUGAACGGAAAGGUCUUCUGUGUCAAGGAAGAUCCUCCAAUAUACUGUCGAUCGAGUUUCAGGGGUCAGAUCCGAUUCAACAGACUAUUUCAGACUUACGUGACGGAAAGUUUUUCUAUUUUGCGAGGUAUUGAUUAAUAUUUUCAGUUGUAGUAUUAAACCUGGUCACGGUAUUGUUUCGAUCCAUUUUGAUACAAUUGAUGCCUUCCUCAAUUAUUAAGAGCCUCUGCAGUGCCGUCAUGUCUAAAUCGAUGGCCAAAGUUCGAAACCAUGCAGUUUACGCCAUUAUAGACUAUCUUACGCGCCUGUCUUACGCUAUUUUUUCUCCGGUAACAAUGAAAUGUAAUUUUUAGAUUUUUUUUCUCAUUUAACAGAAUAUUCUAUAGGAAUUUCAUGUUAUAAAGUUAGCUUAUUUCUCCUCGGAAAGGGGUGGAAGGUUUGGAACACUGCGAUUCAGAAUUCAGAUACGCAGUUUCGCACGUAUCAAAAUUCUAGAAGGCUAUGCCCCCUGGCUGCUACGUGGCCCAAACCUCAGAGGGCGCCUCGCGCUCCGUUAGGCCUGCGUCGACGAAAGAAUGACCCCCAAAAAAGGAAAAGAUAUUCAUAUCCAACUCUCAUUUGUCCGAUGUCCCGGUGGCCGGGAGUGAUAGGACCAAUAAGAGGGUUAUAUUAUGUUUCGUCAACGAUUUCUUAUGCGCGCAAAUGCAUUGCGCAAUGCUUGAAGUAUCCCUGUAGGCUUGUAGGCGCUAGUGCGUGUUUUGCGCUGGCGCGCGGCGGCAGUACGCCCGCCGCGCCGCUCCGCUUUGUGUUUUGCUCUUAUAUUUAAACUCGCGGAGUCAGCGUUUUAAACUCACGAUGUUUACACACUCUGCAUGGAUUAUUCUCAUUUAAAUUGAUGCGAAGAAAUAUGUAUUAAAGGAAAAUAUAAUGUGUGUUUUGUAAAUAUUAAGGUAGUUCCGUGUUGAAUUUAAUGAUUUCGUAACUUUACCACGUCAUAUACAAAAACCUGGGUCAUAUUUCCAAAAUCUGAAUAAAGCGGGCUCAUAUAG
RNAcentral lists this long non-coding RNA (2943 nucleotides) under Bemisia tabaci. RNAcentral describes it as "lncRNA ENSSSA1NGG000441". Lineage: Eukaryota; Metazoa; Arthropoda; Insecta; Hemiptera; Aleyrodidae. The record is from RNAcentral.